UGAGCAAUCUGCCCUUCUCUUCGGAAUAAGCGUUGGAAACGACGUCUAAUGCCGAAUACGACCUCCUUUCGCAUGAUCGGAGGUGGAAAGCUCCGGCGGAGAAGGAUGAGCUCGCGGCCUAUCAGCUAGUUGGUGUGGGUAAUGGCCCACCUAGGCGACGACGGGUAGCCGGCCUGAGAGGGUGGCCGGCCACACUGGGACUGAGACACGGCCCAGACUCCUACGGGAGGNAGCG
Molecule: ribosomal RNA, 235 nt
Filed under: uncultured bacterium
Lineage: Bacteria
Description: partial 16S ribosomal RNA
Rfam family: Bacterial small subunit ribosomal RNA
Source: RNAcentral